CGCAAUCCUCUUUUGCAUAUUCAAUUAGCUGAGGAAAAGAAACCAACAGGGAUUGCCUCAGUAACGGCGAGUGAAGCGGCAAAAGCUCAAAUUUGAAAUCCCCCCGGGGAGUUGUAAUUUGAAGAUUGCGUCUUGGAGGCGACCGUGUCUAUGUUCCUUGGAACAGGACGUCACAGAGGGUGAGAAUCCCGUGCGGCACGGCCCCCGGCUCCUUAUAAGGCGCUCUCGACGAGUCGAGUUGUUUGGGAAUGCAGCUCAAAGUGGGUGGUAAAUUCCAUCUAAAGCUAAAUACAGGCGAGAGACCGAUAGCGAACAAGUACAGUGAUGGAAAGAUGAAAAGCACUUUGAAAAGAGAGUGAAACAGCACGUGAAAUUGUUGAAAGGGAAGGGCAUGCCGUCAGAUUGUCAGUGUGGGUAAGAAGCGGGGUACAAAGACUGUGGAACGUGGCCCUCGGGUGUUAUAGCCGCAGUUCAUGCCCCGUCUCUUUCCGAGGCCUGCUUUGAGGACACCGACGUAAUGACGGUACGCCGCCCGUCUAAAAACCCGGGAACAA
RNAcentral lists this ribosomal RNA (554 nucleotides) under Kodamaea ohmeri. RNAcentral's name for it is "partial large subunit ribosomal RNA". It matches the Rfam family "Eukaryotic large subunit ribosomal RNA", at positions 28 to 664 of the family's 3401-position model. The record is from RNAcentral. Lineage: Eukaryota; Fungi; Ascomycota; Pichiomycetes; Serinales; Debaryomycetaceae.